GAUGAACGCCUUCUACAGGCUUAACACAUGCAAGUCGAGGGGCAUCAGGAAGAAAGCUUGCUUUCUUUGCUGGCGACCGGCGCACGGGUGAGUAACACGUAUCCAACCUGCCCUUUACUCGGGGAUAGCCUUUCGAAAGAAAGAUUAAUACCCGAUAGUAUAAUGAUUCCGCAUGGUUUCCUUAUUAAAGGAUUCCGGUAAAGGAUGGGGAUGCGUUCCAUUAGGUUGUUGGUGAGGUAACGGCUCACCAAGCCUUCGAUGGAUAGGGGUUCUGAGAGGAAGGUCCCCCACAUUGGAACUGAGACACGGUCCAAACUCCUACGGGAGGCAGCAGUGAGGAAUAUUGGUCAAUGGGCGCUAGCCUGAACCAGCCAAGUAGCGUGAAGGAUGAAGGCUCUAUGGGUCGUAAACUUCUUUUAUAUAAGAAUAAAGUGCAGUAUGUAUACUGUUUUGUAUGUAUUAUAUGAAUAAGGAUCGGCUAACUCCGUGCCAGCAGCCGCGGUAAUACGGAGGAUCCGAGCGUUAUCCGGAUUUAUUGGGUUUAAAGGGAGCGUAGGUGGACUGGUAAGUCAGUUGUGAAAGUUUGCGGCUCAACCGUAAAAUUGCAGUUGAUACUGUCAGUCUUGAGUACAGUAGAGGUGGGCGGAAUUCGUGGUGUAGCGGUGAAAUGCUUAGAUAUCACGAAGAACUCCGAUUGCGAAGGCAGCUCACUGGACUGCAACUGACACUGAUGCUCGAAAGUGUGGGUAUCAAACAGG
This 758-nucleotide ribosomal RNA is filed under the name uncultured bacterium. Its description in RNAcentral is "bacterial SSU rRNA". It matches the Rfam family "Bacterial small subunit ribosomal RNA", at positions 28 to 776 of the family's 1533-position model. The record is from RNAcentral.